GCGGGCGUAGCUCAGGUGGCAGAGCACGGGAUUUCCGAUCCCGUGGUCGCGGGUUCGAGUCCCGUCGCCCGCUCCA
RNAcentral lists this transfer RNA (76 nucleotides) under Bacillota bacterium. Its description in RNAcentral is "Firmicutes bacterium (hot springs metagenome) tRNA-Gly". It matches the Rfam family "tRNA". From Rfam's summary of the family: Transfer RNA (tRNA) molecules are approximately 80 nucleotides in length. Their secondary structure includes four short double-helical elements and three loops (D, anti-codon, and T loops). The record is from RNAcentral. Lineage: Bacteria; Bacillati; Bacillota.